UAGCAGCAGCUCCUCUGUGACUCAGUUGUCUUGGCUUCAUCAAAGGAUAAGAAGACUGCUCGCUCCGAUGCUCUGGUUCAACAACAGGGGAGGUGGCCCGUCGCCGCUGAUCCCUCUGCUGACGAUCGUGGUCUUGUGCUUCUUCAUCAAUGGCUUGGGCGUGUUCGAGGCAUUCUCCGGCGCGGGGGAAAGAGGAGGAGGUGAAGACGAAGAGGUAGGCGGAGGCAGCAACAAACUCCUCCUUAUGUUGAUCCCUCUCGUCCUGGUCCUGCUGAUGAUUCAUUACUGUAGUGAGUCGCUCCCUUCUUUCUCGUGGUCCUUUGGAGGCGGGCAAGAAGGCAACUCGAGCUGUGAUGACGAAGGCUACGGUCUUGGAACGAUACUGUUCUUAGUGCUGUUCCUCGUCCUUUAUAACUUUAUGUAGUCAAGCUCCCUCUAUAUAUAGAAUGCAAUAUUCGCAUACUCAAUUCUUGUUUUGUUCGUCAUGUUUGUAGAAUCCCAAGUGUCCUGCAAGAGCUUAUCCAUCCUCAAUUUGUAUAUUUUAUGUAGAAUUGAAAUAUAUGAUUCUUUGUUAUCUGAUACUGUAUCCUUAUUGUCCCCAUACAAACAGUUAUCAGACUAGCUAUCUCCAUCGUAUGGAUGAGUAUACAAUAUACUAAUCUAGCCG
RNAcentral lists this long non-coding RNA (667 nucleotides) under Musa acuminata (dwarf banana). RNAcentral describes it as "long non-coding RNA (MACU_LNC003978)". The record is from RNAcentral. Lineage: Eukaryota; Viridiplantae; Streptophyta; Magnoliopsida; Zingiberales; Musaceae.